This is a long non-coding RNA of Gavialis gangeticus (Gharial), 531 nucleotides long. RefSeq lists it as uncharacterized. The record is from RefSeq and is a predicted model, not a curated record. NCBI's taxonomy places the organism in Eukaryota, Metazoa, Chordata, Crocodylia, Gavialidae. The transcript is spliced from 4 exons.
CUUAGGGUCAUUGUAAAACACAGAAACAUGUAGUGCUAUAGGCCUCCAUCUACUCAAGCUUUCACAAAAAGAGGAACCAAUUUCCAACAACACCAGAAGGAGCUGCAGGUGCCUGUACAUGGAUGCAUCUCAAGAAGGUUGGGACAGUUUCUUUGAGCUAAGAGAUAGAUCCUUCUCUCCACUCCGAACAGUUAGACCCAAGCCUAGAGGGAGAGACAGAUAAUGAACAGACUGGUGCCUAGAAGGGGAAGGAAAGGAAUCAUUGUGUGGAGUGACUACCAGGUGCAUAGUCCUUAAGAACUGCUUAUAUUCUCUCUGAAGCUAAUGGCAACGCUCCCAUGAUUUCACUGUGGCAGGCCCACAGUUUUCGCCAGACCACAAUUUGCUGUGUUCAAUAAAGUCCUCACAUUUGGAACUGAAGAAGGUGGUCCCCAAAUGAGUCGUCCAAAAACUGGCCAUUCUCCUUGCACAUAAGCUGCAGGAGCAAGAAAAAGAAAUGGCCUGCAAUUCAUUUUCUGUGAUCUUCUAAGA